This 470-nucleotide ribosomal RNA is filed under the name uncultured Tepidiphilus sp. Its description in RNAcentral is "bacterial SSU rRNA". It matches the Rfam family "Bacterial small subunit ribosomal RNA", at positions 908 to 1382 of the family's 1533-position model. The record is from RNAcentral. Lineage: Bacteria; Pseudomonadati; Pseudomonadota; Hydrogenophilia; Hydrogenophilales; Hydrogenophilaceae.
AAUUGACGGGGACCCGCACAAGCGGUGGAUGAUGUGGAUUAAUUCGAUGCAACGCGAAGAACCUUACCUACCCUUGACAUGUCCGGAACUUGCCAGAGAUGGCUUGGUGCCCGAAAGGGAAUCGGAACACAGGUGCUGCAUGGCUGUCGUCAGCUCGUGUCGUGAGAUGUUGGGUUAAGUCCCGCAACGAGCGCAACCCUUAUCAUUAGUUGCUACGCAAGGGCACUCUAAUGAGACUGCCGGUGACAAACCGGAGGAAGGUGGGGAUGACGUCAAGUCCUCAUGGCCUUUAUGACCAGGGCUACACACGUACUACAAUGGCCGGUACAAAGGGCAGCGACACAGCGAUGUGAAGCCAAUCCCGAAAAGCCGGUCUCAGUCCGGAUUGGAGUCUGCAACUCGACUCCAUGAAGUUGGAAUCGCUAGUAAUCGCGGAUCAGCACGCCGCGGUGAAUACGUUCCCGGGCCUU